RNAcentral lists this ribosomal RNA (253 nucleotides) under uncultured bacterium. RNAcentral describes it as "partial 16S ribosomal RNA". It matches the Rfam family "Bacterial small subunit ribosomal RNA", at positions 524 to 776 of the family's 1533-position model. The record is from RNAcentral.
UACGGAGGGUGCAAGCGUUAUCCGGAUUCACUGGGUUUAAAGGGCUCGUAGGUGGCCAACUAAGUCAGACGUGAAAUCCCUCAGCUUAACUGGGGAACUGCGUCUGAUACUGGAUGGCUUGAGUUUGGGAGAGGGAUGCGGAAUUCCAGGUGUAGCGGUGAAAUGCGUAGAUAUCGGGAAGAACACCCGUGGCGAAGGCGGUUCUCUGGGACGGUACUGACGCUGAGACGCGAAAGCGUGGGGAGCGAACAGG